This 509-nucleotide ribosomal RNA is filed under the name uncultured bacterium. RNAcentral describes it as "bacterial SSU rRNA". It matches the Rfam family "Bacterial small subunit ribosomal RNA", at positions 9 to 518 of the family's 1533-position model. The record is from RNAcentral.
AGGUUCGAUCCUGGCUCAGGAUGAACGCUAGCUACAGGCUUAACACAUGCAAGUCGAGGGUAGCAGGUAGCAAUACCGCUGACGACCGGCGCACGGUGAGUAACACGUAUCCAACCUUCCCAUAACUCAGGGAUAGCCUUUCGAAAGAAAGAUUAAUACCUGAUAGUACUUUUUCAAGGCAUCUUGAGAAAGUUAAAGAUUUAUUGGUUAUGGAUGGGGAUGCGUUCCAUUAGAUAGUUGGUGAGGUAACGGCUCACCAAGUCUUCGAUGGAUAGGGGUUCUGAGAGGAAGGUCCCCCACAUUGGUACUGAGACACGGACCAAACUCCUACGGGAGGCAGCAGUGAGGAAUAUUGGUCAAUGGGCGAGAGCCUGAACCAGCCAAGUAGCGUGAAGGAUGAAGGUCCUAUGGAUUGUAAACUUCUUUUAUAGUAGAAUAAAGUGAUCCACGUGUGGAUUUUUGUAUGUAUACUAUGAAUAAGGAUCGGCUAACUCCGUGCCAGCAGCCGC